UUACAACAUGCAUGCGGGAUCAUUGACAUAUGGGGUCCUAUACGACCAAGAUUGACACCGAUCCGCGAAGAUAAACUUUGGGGAGGUCAAGUGGAUGCCCUGUGAACAAGUUUUAGCUUCACUACCAAAUAUUUGUAGAGAUGAAGGUAUAUGGCUUGCUAGAGUCCGGAUUCUAUGCUUUGAGGUUAUUGAAAGAGAGAGGUGACGCACCAGACACAGAUGUGUACAUAUGUUGGUGUUUAGGGAUUACUCAUUGAUGGAUAUAUUAGAAGAACAAAGCACAUACCGCAUACAUACCGAGGAGUCCAAUUAAGAGAACAUUGGUAUAAGAACUCGAUGAGGCGGCUUCUAUUGCACAUGAUUCCUUGAGAUCGACUUCUAAGCAAGGGGCGAGGAAUGCAUUUGUUAGCAUAAUAAGAAAGAUUCAAUCCGCUCUUAGAAAGACGUGUCAUGCAGAUCAUGAUGGACGUCAAGAACGACUCCUAGUGUACGAGCGUCGAAGGUUUCGAGGACAUACUAGGGAAGGCUCAAGUUGUGCACAUGACGAAGCCGGACGUUCACUGCGGAUUCAAAUCGAGGAGAAUGUCAUACCUUCACAAAUUCACACACAACCGGACAAUGAGAUCAUCCAAGCUCAUGUUAACAAGGACGAAAGAGAGGAAGAAGAGGGAGAGGGAGAGGGAGAGGGACGAUGAGUUGUUUUAUGAUGUUUACGAUGAGGAGUCCUUGAUUUGGACUAAAUGUC
Long non-coding RNA from Asparagus officinalis (garden asparagus), 745 nucleotides. RefSeq lists it as uncharacterized. The record is from RefSeq and is a predicted model, not a curated record. The transcript has 3 exons. NCBI's taxonomy places the organism in Eukaryota, Viridiplantae, Streptophyta, Magnoliopsida, Asparagales, Asparagaceae.